AGAGCCGGUGCGACGUUUCCCUUUCCAGCUUUGUUCUUCCGGCCCUGCUGUCUGCCUCCCCGGCUGAUUGGAUUCGUUACUGCUUUGCAACGCGCACCUAACUCCAGACGGGGUCUCACUCUGUCGCCCAGGCUGGAGUGCAGUGGCACAAUCUCAGCUUGCUGUGACCUCAGCUCUCUGCGACCUCUGCUUGCUGGACUCAAGCGAUCCUCCCACCACCUCAGCCUCCUGAGUAGCUGGAACCAUCAUAUGCACCAGCACGCCUGGCUAAGCUGGAAUGCAAUAGCGUGGUCUUGGCUCACUGCAACCUCCGCCUCCCGGGUUCAAGCAAUUCUCCUGCCUCAGCCUCCUAAGUAGCUGGGACUACAGGGGCCCUCCUGCUGCUCCCUCCAUGAGGCUGGUCCUGAAGGAAUAGGCCUGUGGCUCGUCCCUCCUCCCCAUCUCGGCCCUGAGGCAAACAUACCUUCCACAGCUCUGGGAGCACCGCCUCCACCCAGGUCUCACAGGAUGGGACACAAGGAUAGGCAUUAAGCAGGACUUCCAGGGCCCGAGGGAAGUUGGCGCAGUGUUUCAGCAUCUAGGGGUCAAAAGAGGGUCUUGGGCACAUGCCUCCCCCACCCGAGGGCAGACCCAAGUCUUGCCUCACCCACAUGGCCAAUCCUAGCCUAAUCUGGGGGGCUAAGGUCUGAGUCUCUCUUCCCUUUUUUGUGCCUCUGUCUACCCCACCCUCAAGUAUGCUCCAACCUUUUGGCCCCAGUUUUCCUCUGGGGCUCUUCCCUCCCUUGGACUCUCUCUCCCAGAAUCCUCUCUCCCCCUCCCAAGCUGGGGACAGCCCCCUGGCCACUGAGGGCAGGCUUUCAGUCUCUUGGACCCUCUGUCUUCCCCAGAAGCGGAGCAGUUCCAGCCGCGGGCUCCCCCACACAGGAGCCUCCUAUGUCAGGGCCUCCCAGCGCACCUCAGGGCGCACUGGCUGCGCCCCGUAGUCCAGCAGUGCGGCGAAAAGGACUUCAGGCUCCCAGUUGGGGGAGUCCUGGACGGCCUGCAGCGCACAGUCCAUGGGCGUGUGGCCCGCCCCAUUGGGGACCUCAGCGCGGGCCCCGUAACGCAGCAGCAGCUCGGCCAGGCCCCCGCAGCCGUUGGCACAAGCGUUGUGCAGCGGCGUGUGGCGCUUGCGCCCGGCCGCCCGGGCAUCAGCUCCAGCCUCCAGGAGCCGGCGCGCCGCAGCCUGGUGUCGCCUGCAGCUACCUGGGCCCUCGGCCCCAGCGCACGCCGUGUUCAGCGCAGUCUCGCCCUGGCUGGUGCGCAGGCCCACGUCGGCGCCAUGCUCCAGGUACAGAGCCACAUGUUGCUCCAGGCCGCGCGCCGCCGCCACGUGCAGGGGCGUCUCCUGGCUCUCGCCUGCUGCCAGGUUCACCGUCGCUCCUGCUUCCAGCAGCAACUUGGCGCACCUGGGGACAAGAGAGCAAGGUCCUGAGGAAAAUCCUGAAGGCUUGGGACCCCUUCAGCUUGCUGUGACACUCCCUUGCCUUUCCACCCCUCUCAGCUUGAGGUCCUACCUGGUGUCCUCCAUGAGAAUCAUACAAGCCCCGCUACAGACAACAGAAUUGGAAGGUCCUGAGAGCUACCAGAAGCAUCUUCAGUUUUCAUAUGAAAAACUUAAGCCCAGGAGUGAUUUGUGCAGCCAAGGACACACAGCAAGUUAGUGGCUGCACCAGAAAUAGUACUCACUGCCUCAGACAGUCCCUCCCACAGUCUACUCUGUCUCCACCCCAAGGUCUGGUUCUGAAUCAUUCAGUUGUCAGUUGUCUCCUUUUUUUUUUUUUUUUUUGGAGACAGGGUCUCUCUCUGUGGCCCAGGCUGAAGUGCAGUGGUGUGAUUACAGCUCAUGUAGCCUGGACCUCCCAAGCUCAAGCAAUCCUCCUGCCUCUGCCUCCCAAGUAGCUGGGACCACAGGUGGGCAGCACCACACCUGGCUAAUUUUUUAAAUUUUUUUUUAUAGAGACAGGGUCUUACCAUUUGCCCCAGCUGGUCUCAAACCCCUGGGCUCAAGCAAGCCUCCUGCCUUGGCCUCCCAAAGUGCUGGGAUUACAGGUGUGAGCCACCACACCCGGCCUUAUCUCCUAACAUUUUGAUAGCACAAAAUUUUGAAAACCCACUUCUGUGUACGUUAUGAAGCAUAGAAAAUUAAACAGUAUGCACCAAAAAAAAAUAAA
RNAcentral lists this long non-coding RNA (2213 nucleotides) under Homo sapiens (human). RNAcentral's name for it is "non-protein coding ASB16-AS1:4". The record is from RNAcentral. Lineage: Eukaryota; Metazoa; Chordata; Mammalia; Primates; Hominidae.